RNAcentral lists this ribosomal RNA (450 nucleotides) under uncultured bacterium. RNAcentral describes it as "partial 16S ribosomal RNA". It matches the Rfam family "Bacterial small subunit ribosomal RNA", at positions 354 to 796 of the family's 1533-position model. The record is from RNAcentral.
GUGGGGAAUAUUGGACAAUGGGCGAAAGCCUGAUCCAGCCAUGCCGCGUGUGUGAAGAAGGUCUUCGGAUUGUAAAGCACUUUAAGUUGGGAGGAAGGGCAGUAAGUUAAUACCUUGCUGUUUUGACGUUACCGACAGAAUAAGCACCGGCUAACUUCGUGCCAGCAGCCGCGGUAAUACGAAGGGUGCAAGCGUUAAUCGGAAUUACUGGGCGUAAAGCGCGCGUAGGUGGUUCAGUAAGUUGGAAGUGAAAUCCCCGGGCUCAACCUGGGAACUGCUUUCAAAACUGCUGAGCUAGAGUACGGUAGAGGGUGGUGGAAUUUCCUGUGUAGCGGUGAAAUGCGUAGAUAUAGGAAGGAACACCAGUGGCGAAGGCGACCACCUGGACUGAUACUGACACUGAGGUGCGAAAGCGUGGGGAGCAAACAGGAUUAGAAACCCCGGUAGUCC